This 681-nucleotide ribosomal RNA is filed under the name uncultured bacterium. RNAcentral's name for it is "bacterial SSU rRNA". It matches the Rfam family "Bacterial small subunit ribosomal RNA", at positions 584 to 1254 of the family's 1533-position model. The record is from RNAcentral.
CAAGUCAGAUGUGAGAGCCUUCUGUUCAACGGGAGAAUUGCAUCUGAAACUGCCAAUCUUGAGUAUAGGAGGGGAGAAUGGAACUUCUGGUGGAGCGGUGAAAUGCGUAGAUAUCAGAAGGAACGCCGGCGGCGAAAGCGAUUCUCUGGCCUAUUACUGACACUCAGUGUGCGAAAGCUAGGGGAGCAAACGGGAUUAGAUACCCCGGUAGUCCUAGCCGUAAACGAUGGGCACUAAGUAGAGGGGAUUACCUAUGUUCUCUCUGCCGUAGCUAACGCAUUAAGUGCCCCGCCUGGGGAGUACGGCCGCAAGGCUAAAACUCAAAAGAAUUGACGGGGGCUUGCACAAGCGGUGGAGCAUGUGGCUUAAUUCGAUGCAACGCGAAAAACCUUACCGGGGCUUGACAUGAUAGAAGUAGGAACCUGAAAGGGGGACGAACGGUAUCCAGUCCGUAGCUAUUACAGGUGUUGCAUGGCUGUCGUCAGCUCGUGUCGUGAGACGUUGGGUUAAGUCCCCUAACGAGCGAAACCCUUGUUUUUAGUUACCAGCGGGUUAUGCCGGGUACUCUAGAAAGACUGCCGUCGUCAAGACGGAGGAAGGUGGGGAUGACGUCAAGUCAGCAUGGCCCUUAUGCCCCGGGCUGCACACGUGCUACAAUGGUCGGUACAGACGGAAGCGAAG